Raphanus sativus (radish) is the source of this 864-nucleotide long non-coding RNA. RefSeq lists it as uncharacterized. The transcript has 2 exons. The record is from RefSeq and is a predicted model, not a curated record. NCBI's taxonomy places the organism in Eukaryota, Viridiplantae, Streptophyta, Magnoliopsida, Brassicales, Brassicaceae.
CUCAGAUUGACUCUAAUCUUACAUGUAAUGACUUGAAUAACUCAUAUAUUUUUGUAUUAACUAGAAUAACUCUCAAGAGAAACAAAAAUACCAAAAGACCAGCCCAACCACCAUUAUUCACUGUUUUGCCAUUUUAUUUUAUUAAUAUGAAAAACUUUUUAAUUGUGUAAAAAAAAAAAGAAAGUCUCCUUCUCUCUUACAGGAAUCGUCGACAGGAAAAAAAAAACCAGAAACUUGCGACUUCUUCUCCUAGGCUCAUCUCUGAUCUCAGACAGAUCCUUCUCCGUCACCGCCUUCGAAGGUCACGGACGUCUUCGAUUCCGAACACCCCAACCCCAUCUCUUCUUCCUGUUUGUUGCGAGAGAGAAACCCUAACUCCACACCACCGCCUGCAAUUCCCAGAAACUUAAACUCGAUGGCCUCAUCUUCUGCUAUUAAAAUGUAUACUCCGCGUUUAUAUGAAGUUGGGCUGUUAUUUCUCAAAUCUUCAGAUGGUUGAAAAAAAUGUUGGUGCAGACGCUUGGCUUGAGUUGCGGGAAUCUGCUAUUGGAGUGAUUAUCAAGCUGAAGGAAUCAGAAUACACUUGGUCUGCAAAAUAUGUUCACUACUUUCUAACCAAUCAAUUUGCAGUAAAGAGAUUAUCAAACUCCAUAAAAAUUGUUUCAUACGAAGGGAAAGAUAGUCAUACAGUUCAUAGUUGUGUUCAUACUCUGGUUGUUGUCUUGCUCUAGGAAGAUGUUUUUUCAGAUAUAUUUAAAUCAUAUGGCUGUAUCUGUAUGUAUAUUGUCCCACAUAUUAACAUGAGUCUCUGUUAACAUUGUAAGACUUUGCUAAAUCUUAUAUAUAUAUUUGGUUGAAAAUAAA